UACGGAAGGCAGCAGUGGGGAAUAUUGGACAAUGGGCGCAAGCCUGAUCCAGCCAUGCCGCGUGUGUGAAGAAGGCCUUCGGGUUGUAAAGCACUUUUGUCCGGAAAGAAAGCUUAGGGUUAAUAACCUUGAGUCAUGACGGUACCGGAAGAAUAAGCACCGGCUAACUUCGUGCCAGCAGCCGCGGUAAUACGAAGGGUGCAAGCGUUACUCGGAAUUACUGGGCGUAAAGGGCACGCAGGCGGUUAAUUAAGUUGGAUGUGAAAUCCCCGGGCUUAACCUGGGAAUGGCAUUCAAGACUGGUUAGCUAGAGUCUUGUAGAGGGGGUAGAAUUCCAUGUGUAGCGGUGAAAUGCGUAGAGAUGUGGAGGAAUACCGGUGGCGAAGGCGGCCCCUGGACAAAGACUGACGCUCAUGUGCGAAAGCGUGGGGAGCAAACAGGGAUUAGAUACC
Molecule: ribosomal RNA, 452 nt
Filed under: uncultured bacterium
Lineage: Bacteria
Description: bacterial SSU rRNA
Rfam family: Bacterial small subunit ribosomal RNA
Source: RNAcentral